GGGGGGGAGGCAUCGCAAGGGGGGGAGGCAUCGCAAGGGGGGGAGGCAUCGCAAGGGGGGGAGGCACCCCAUGCGAGGCGGGGACUGAGAACCAGCCCCUCUACCCCCCGUGGCUCUUAGGAGCCCGAUCGCGGGUGAGGGAAGCACCCCCCGCGAGGCGGGGACUGAGAGCAAGCCCCUUUUCCCCCCCUGGCUCUUAGAACAACCAACGCAGAGGGGGGAGGCACCCGCUGUGAGGCAUGAACUGAGAGCCAGACCCACUUCCCCCCAGCUCUUGGGAUCCCCAUCACAGGGGGGAGGCACCCCACAUGAGGCGGGGACUGAGAGACAGCCCCUCUGCCCCUCCUGGCUAUUAGGACCCCCGUCGCACAGGGGGGAGGGACCCCCCAUCGCACGGGGGAGAGGGACCCCCCGCGAGGCAGGGACGGAGAGCCUGCCGCUCUUCCCCCCGUGGCUCAUAGGACCCCCAUCGCAGGCGCUUGGCACCCCACGCGAGGCGGGUACUGAGAGCCAGCUCCUCUUCACCCCGGGUCUCUUAGGACUGCCAUCGCAGGGGGGUAGAGGUACCCCAUGCAAGGCGGGGACUGAGAGUCAGCCCCUCUUCACCUCUCGCUCUUAGGCCCCCAUCGCGGGGGGGGAGGCACCCCAUGCGAGGCGGGGAUUGAGAGCCAGCCCCACUUCCCCCCUGACUCUUGGGACCACCAUCGCAGUGGGGGCAGGACCCCCACCGCGGAUUCUAAGAUCCUUAGCACCCACCUGGAGGACUGUGGGUUUUAGGUGUCCAAGAAGAAAGCUCAGAUCUGCCGACGGCAGGUACCUUACUUGGGAUUUUCUAUACGACAGGGGUCCGAACGCAGCCCGGGAUCAGAAAGAAAGCAGGUCGUUUGCAAUCUACCGGAGCCUAAGGGCAGAAGGCAGGACCGUGGGAACAAUAUGCCAGGGGGAUUUCCACUUUCUGCCAUAUAUGUAGUCACAUCACCCACUCUGCUUUGGAAUAUUAUUAAGGACCAUCUAACACGAGGGUGUAUACGUCCUGCAAUACUACGAGUAAUAUCAACUUCUUGGCCUCUGAAUAUGAGGAAGAAUAUCACAGGGUGGGUGUACACCUCGUGCUCUAUUAUGCGGAGUCAUAUCUGUCUAUUAUGGGGAGUAAUAUCAUUCUCUCCCUUUCAGGAUAUUAAUAACAAUUUCACAGGCUGGGUGAACACAGCCGGCAAUGCUGAAAUUAUUAUCAUCCUCUCCCCAUCUUCCCCUCCUGGCUCUUAGGACCCCCAUCGCAGGGGGCUGAGGCACCCCCCGCGAGGCGGGGACUGAGUGCCAGCCCCUCUUCCCUAGCCCCUUCGUCAGGGCUGAGAGAAUUUUGAGCGCUAGCCGUCUCUCGAUCGCUGGCUAAUAAAGAACUCCUGAAUUAGUCUCAAAGUGUGGCGUUCCUCUAUUACCCGCUUGGUUACAACAGCUUUAUAUUAAUAAUUGUAGUAAUAAAGUUGAUCGCACAUAGGAUGGAGGAGGCACCUGCCUGGUGAGAUGAGACAAUGGUCGGAUUCACUGAGGCUCCUGCGUGUCCCGGAUUUCCCGCUGGGGGAGGGUGUUCUGCUCAGCGGUUCCCACACCUGCUUCCAUGGGAGAAGCAAGAAGUCAGAAGGGUGGGCGAAGGAGUCAGAAGCUUCUAUUAUUGGUUCGGGGAGAUGCUGUGU
RNAcentral lists this long non-coding RNA (1694 nucleotides) under Homo sapiens (human). RNAcentral describes it as "HSALNT0366618". Lineage: Eukaryota; Metazoa; Chordata; Mammalia; Primates; Hominidae. The record is from RNAcentral.